This 403-nucleotide ribosomal RNA is filed under the name uncultured bacterium. RNAcentral describes it as "bacterial SSU rRNA". It matches the Rfam family "Bacterial small subunit ribosomal RNA", at positions 29 to 410 of the family's 1533-position model. The record is from RNAcentral.
ACGAACGCUGGCGGCGUGCCUAAUACAUGCAAGUCGAACGCUUUUUCUUCAUCGGGUGCUUGCACCCACCGAGGAAAAAGAGUGGCGGACGGGUGAGUAACACGUGGGUAACCUACCUAUAAGCGGGGGAUAACAUUCGGAAACGGAUGCUAAUACCGCAUAUAUCUUCAUGCCACAUGGCAUGUGGAAGAAAGACGGCUUCGGCUGUCACUUAUAGAUGGACCCGCGGCGCAUUAGUUAGUUGGUGAGGUAAUGGCUCACCAAGACGAUGAUGCGUAGCCGACCUGAGAGGGUGAUCGGCCACACUGGGACUGAGACACGGCCCAGACUCCUACGGGAGGCAGCAGUAGGGAAUCUUCCGCAAUGGACGAAAGUCUGACGGAGCAACGCCGCGUGAGUGAAG